AUGUAUAUAUUUUCGAUUCUGCUAGAGAUCCACGUCGAACAGAUUAUGCAUGGGGAAUCUUGAGUUUGUAAGUUCUUUUGCUUACAAAUUACAUUAGUCUUUAAGAAACCUAAGCCAAAAUCAUAUUCAUGAGUACCCAUGUUUCGUUAAUUUUCUAGGGCAUACCAAGUGUACAAGUGCAAUGGUGGGAAUUGUCCGAAUAAAACGAGUUUUAAGUCGUGUAAACCCAUUCAUAUAGAGUGUGCUCAACAAAUCGGCGGAACUGAGUGUGGCUAUUACGUUAUGAAGUUCAUGUUAGAGAUAGUCACGUUACAACAUGACUAUGAAGGCCGGCUAGAUGAGGUCUAUACUCCGAGGACUGCGCCUUAUGCUAGUGAGGAAAUUGAUGUGGUUCGUGAGCAAUGGGCGAAGUUUUUUACCACCAAGUAUUUAUUAUUGACCUGAUGGCGCUUGAUCGUGUUGGUUUAGAUGUUAUAGAACAAUCUUUUAUGUUAAAAUGUAUGCGUACGUUGAAAUUGGAACGUAAAUGUAUUUAAAUGUAUCGGUAUGUGCACUUUUGGUUUUGGGAUAUAUACAAAACUCCAGUUGUU
This is a long non-coding RNA of Spinacia oleracea (spinach), 590 nucleotides long. RefSeq lists it as uncharacterized. The transcript has 3 exons. The record is from RefSeq and is a predicted model, not a curated record. NCBI's taxonomy places the organism in Eukaryota, Viridiplantae, Streptophyta, Magnoliopsida, Caryophyllales, Amaranthaceae.